AAUCAACGCUGGCGGCGUGCCUAACACAUGCAAGUCGCACGAGAAAGGGCAGCAAUGCCUGAGUACAGUGGCGCACGGGUGAGUAACACGUGAAUGAUCUACCUCCGAGUGGGGAAUAACUGAGAGAAAUCUUAGCUAAUACCGCAUAACACUUACGAGUCAAAGCAGCAAUGCGCUUGGAGAGGAGUUCGCGGCAGAUUAGUUAGNGGCGGGGUAAUGGCCCACCAAGACGAUGAUCUGUAUCCGGCCUGAGAGGGCGCACGGACACACUGGAACUGAACACGGUCCAGACUCCUACGGAGGCAGCAGUGGGGAAUUUUGCGCAAUGGGGAAACCCUGACGCAGCAACGCCGCGUGGAGGAUGAAAUCCCUUGGGAUGUAAACUCCUUUCGAUCGGGAAGAUAAUGACGGUACCGAGAGAAGAAGCCC
RNAcentral lists this ribosomal RNA (429 nucleotides) under uncultured bacterium. RNAcentral describes it as "bacterial SSU rRNA". It matches the Rfam family "Bacterial small subunit ribosomal RNA", at positions 32 to 493 of the family's 1533-position model. The record is from RNAcentral.